Long non-coding RNA from Corylus avellana, 1000 nucleotides. RefSeq lists it as uncharacterized. The record is from RefSeq and is a predicted model, not a curated record. Lineage: Eukaryota; Viridiplantae; Streptophyta; Magnoliopsida; Fagales; Betulaceae.
GAAUAGAAGAGAAGGUGUUUGGUAGAAUUGCGUUCCUCACUCGACACCUUCAUCACAUCAAAAACUUCUUUUGCCUCUGUCAGCAUAUUGCUGGACGCACUUCGCAAAGAGGCUAUGCUGACUGAGGCAAAAGAAGUUUUUGAUCUGAUCGUUAUGACCGUAACUUUGGAUAUACGUUUCAACGCCCGAUUUCGCGUGCUGUUGGCUUUGGCGAUGGCUAUAGCCGCUCCUUUCUACAUUGAAUCUACGUCUCAACAGUCAAGUUGGAGCUUUCUUUGAGAAACUCAGAGCUUUAGGAGCUCUGGCCCUUGUUGCUUUCUCUUUACUGAAAAGGCAAAUGGGCGGCACUGAAGCCCGAUCCAGAAUCAAGUAACAGCUGCAGCCACAAGAUAACAAGGAGAUGAAGAUAUGUAGCAUGUAUCAACUAUCAGCCAGUCUUGUGACUCUUGUGAAAGCUAUACAUACUGGCGAUUAUUGGAACUCUUCCUGUAUAUACUCAUGAACUUGGCCACAAAUUCUGCACCAAAGAUACAGAAAUAACCAGUGAACUGCCUGUAUACUGACCUCUCCUUCCCUUAAAAAGAAAAACCUACCUCGCUGGUGAUGGAUCAACUAUGAUAUCUGCAGAAAGUUCCACUAGGACCUCUUCCCAUCCAAAUGGAAUUGGUUGGUCAUCGACAAAAGGGUAGCUGCACACAGUGACAGUGUCCUCAUAACAAUCUUAGCAGCAAAGCUCAUGGGUAGAUCAAAGUUCUCCUUUCUUGCUAUCUGAAGAAGAACCUCCAUGAUCUGGGAUAUUGGAGGUUUCAACGAGGAUUAAGAUAAAGUCAGAAGUGUGGAAGAUGGGAGCAUACUAGUGUAAAACGCCUAUUAGUACACAGUUAUAAUCCAAAAUGAAUCUGAAACUUACUUCAUGAGUAACAGGAGCAUCAACCUUGAUAACUUUGCAGCGGUUUUUCACACAUUCAAGGAUUUCUACAUCAUCUUCACAGCAGAGUAU